CGCCCCCGCCGCAGCGCAUCCCGGGCCGGCCCGCGGAGACCCGGAGGGGGCACGGGCAGGGGCUGCCCCCAGCGCUUCUGCGCCCGUCCCGGAGCCGGGCCGGGAGACAGCGGGACGAGCGGGGGAACAGCCUGAAGCUAUGUCAGGGGGGUUUAGGAUGGAUAGUAGGAAAAGGUUCUUCACGCAGAGCGUGGCUGGACACUGAACAGGCUCCUCAGGGCAGUGGUCACAGCACCAAGCCUGGCAGACCUCGAGAAGCGUGUGGACAAUGCUCUCGGGCACAUGGUGUGACUCUUGGGGGUGCCCUGUGCAGGGUUCGAUGAGCGCUGUGCAUCCCCUGUAACUGUGGUGCUGUGACCGGGGAGCAGCACGGCUCGGCCCCACGACUCGCCCUUGUUUUUUGGUUAAAGGCUGGCGAUCGGGAAGGUAGAAGAGAAUGCGGCCACAGGUUCCCUCAGCACCACCAGAAAGACCCUUUGGGCCCAGACAGCAACAGUGCAUUUUGCCUUGUCCUUGUAGUAGUAAGUUCCUUGUGCGUGCUUUUUAUAGAUCAACUUCUCCAAUUUUCUUCCUUCUCUCUCGUCCCUCCCCAGCAGCCACAAACAUCAUCCACCUGCAAACCAAUUCUGCAAUGGUCUCCAACCUACAGAGACACCUGACCUCAGCACAGAAGCAGCUGAGGGCAGAGACUUUGCAGCCCCAUCCAGAGAACCUGCACCUUUACAAAUCCACUGCAGGGAAAGUGGUGAUUUUCGAGUUGAAAAAGAAAGUAAAGAGUCCAAUGUAACAUGACAGCUGCCUUUGUGGGGGACUCUGUCCAUGUGCUGAAUUCCAGUGAUUUCAAACAGCACUGGUUAAAGUGCAAAGAUCCAUCCUAUUUGAGCUGACUGAAGACCUGGAGACAAACUAAUCAGUUUAGCACAGCAUGCAACCUCCUUCUCAUAUGAUGCCAUAUGCAGCUUUGCAACUGUUUUGCUGAGCUUCCUCAAGACUAUGUUUAACUUGGUUACCCAAAGGAGGUCAUGAACACAUCCGUGUUGCAAGCUGCUUAUACAGUUUUUGCACAAGCUCAAGCUGACUGAAGAAAUAAUGCAACACUGGGAAAUCCAAAAGGAGAAGUCACGCCAUGAUUUGCAUUCAAGGCACCCACAUCUUCUGCAGCCUCACUACCUGGCUGAAAAACACUGUUGCUGUUUCUCUGCUGAAUGUAGAGUAGUGAUGUCCACUGUUAACAGCAAUUAAUCAUUUCUUUGGGAAAACUCCAGUUAAAGAUACUGUUGGCACUGGUUAAUGAGUAAUCAUUAAUUAAGGUAGACGACACGAUCAGUUAGGCAUUAAAAGGUAUCCUGUGUGGAAUUCUUUCAUCCAGGGAAAGACAUAGAAUCACAGAAUGGCUUUGAUGGGAAGGGACCUUAAAGAUCAUUUAGUCCAACCCGUCUGCUCUGUGCAGGGACACCUUCCACUAGACCACAUUGCUCAAAGCCCCAUCCCACCUGGCCUUGAACACUGCCAGGGAUGGGGCAUCCACAGCUUCUCUGGGCAACAGUGCCUCACCACUGCCACAGUAAAGCAGAAAUUUACUCCUAAUAUCUAAUCUAAACCUACUCUGAGUUUGAAUCCAUUCUCUCUUGUCCUGUCAGUACCUGCCCUUGUAAAAAGUCCAUCCCUUUCCAUCUUUCAGAUACUGCAAGGGCACAAUUAGGUUUUAACUGAAGCCCUCUUUUUUCCAUAGAUGCAGGAGAAGGUUGAAUUCCAGAUACAUCUUAUCUGUAGUUUCACAUGAAGUUUAUCAUCCUGAGCCAGGGGCAGGCCCAAUGUGCUCAGGAGAGGAAGAGAGGAGGCACCAUGCCCUGUCCCAUGACUGGCAUCAGCAAUAAAGCCCCUUCCCAUCCACCCCUCAGCAAAUCUAAACCACUUUAUCCUGGUUUACACCAGCCAACAGCACAGACUUAGGCAACAGUCAUCAGUCAAAGGGGAAUUUUCAUCUAGAUGACAGUAAUGCUGCCAUAUAUUUUUUACCACAGACAUCCAAGACCAGUUUCCUUAAGUCUGUGCCACAGCACAAACAUCUUUGUAAGGGACAUUUACUCCCUAUUUUCAUGUCAUGCAGUCAAGUGCUACCCAAAAGUUCCAUAGGCUGGCAUGUGCAGUAAGAUCUGGAAAUUGUUCUUCCUGAAAUACCACAAUUGUUUAUCAUUAGUGCUAUUGAUGCAUUUCAACUUAAUAAAAUGUUGUGAAAUCCAUUACACCAUUGUUAACUGUGGCUAAGAAAAGCAAUCCUAAUGGCAUGGAUGAAUCCAGCCAGACCACAAGGGAUUACAUAGUUUGAUUUGUUCAGCCUAGGUCUCAUAACAAAAAGGCAGAAGGAAACUAAAGUAAGGUUUCAAAACUAUAGAGUUUCCUAAUGAUAGCUGUAACUGUAAUACUGAUUUUGUAAUACUAUGUAUUUAGAAAAAAAAAUAUUGAACAAAGUAAAAACACAACAGAAACUCCCUUUGUCAAACAGAAGUGAUGCAAGUGGAAGAUAAAAACCCUUCCAAUCAUCUGUUCAACUCUUAUGCCUUUUUCUCCAUCUAGAAAUAUCAGCAGUCCCAGUUUCACUGAGCUCCUCUGGAGCCAUACACCUCCUUGUUCAUCCAGUGUGGCCCAGGCUGAGGCUGAUUGACCUACCAGUGUUUUAUGCCUCAUCUCACUCUGUCUGAAAUGCAAGUUUCUCUAAGGUCCCAGUUUUCACCUCCCUGCUCUACAGCCCCAAGAUUUCCAAUGGAAGCUGGAGGCUCUGAGCAGGACACUCACCAUGUUGUUCAGGUGGGGAUCCACCCCUGUCUUGGGUUGAAAAAUGUAACCAAAAAUGUGUAUUAUAUUUUCAUCUGUUGAAACCGGUUGGGAGAUAUUGUUCUUUAUCUCUUGUAACUCUAGGGAGGAAGAGGGCAGAUGCCUUCUGUUAAUGGGACACCUGAUAACACCAGAUAAGGCAGAGCCUUCUUAUCUCUUCCUCCACCCAUCCUUCUCCGAGGGACAUCACCUGUGGAUGGGCCAUUUAAGGCCUCUCACAUGACUGAUAACAAUACCUCAUUCCAUCGUGAGAUGCUCCACCCAGUGGGAGGAGCCAAAGCCUUUCCACCGAGAUAAAACCUGCAAUCCCAAACACCAAUUUAGCUGAUUUUCUGCUGAAUUCUUGGAGGAGGACCAGACCCAUCUCACCAGCACUGGACCCUUUUUUCUACAGGAUCAUCUCUACUCCACAAAACAACAUCUGUUACUCCAGGAAGAUUUAUUUGGACUGCUUCCAACACCCUGACAACAGGGUGUCAGCUCGUAUCUCUGACUCUGUCAGGGUUUUCUAGGACUUUUGUUUGUUUGCUUGGUUUUUUUUUUUUUGUACUACUGUAUUUGUAUUUUUUUUAAUAUUGCUAGUAAACAACUGUUAUUCCUAUUCCCAUGUUUUUGCCUGAAAGCUCCUAAUUGCAAAAUUGUAAUAAUUUGGAGAAAGGGGGGUUUUACAUUCUGCAUUCCAAGGGAAACUUCAGUUUUCCCUGACAGAUACCUGUCUUUUCAAACCAAGACAAUCCCCAGCUUUGGGGGCUGAAAAAUUGCAUUAAAUGCAGUUUUGAGAUUAAUAAAUGAAGUCUCAUUAUUGGUAGAACUCAGAUCUUUCCACUUGCUUCCACUUACAAUUGUCAGGACUGAAAGACAUCACUGGAAGGCACUAUAAUUAGAUUUGGAGGUGAGGAGGAAGGAGAAGACAGAACAGGCUGAUGUGCUGAAGUUCUGAGAAAUUAUCAAACAAGAUGUGUCUUGUGUUAAUGCUGAAUGAUACAUCACAGCAAAUUCAGUAUCAUAGAACCAUAACUGCUUAUCACAGUCAGCUGUGAGAAUGGUGUACUGACUUAAUUGAGGUCAAGAAUUAAUUGCAUGUCUUUCAGAUAACAUUUCUAAAUGGCAGGUUCUGUCUAAAGAGAAGACUUUAAUUCAAACCUUUUAGGCCAAACAUUUACAGAGAAGCAGAAAGUCCCAGUCAGUGCAAGAAUGUGAAAAAAUAAGUAAAAUGUUAUCUUGUCAUAAAAUGUGUCUUGAUUGGCAAACUGUAAGUAUGGAUCAAAGCAGUAAUAUGCUGGAGAAAAAGCUAGAUACAGAAGAGCGUGGG
Prinia subflava (tawny-flanked prinia) is the source of this 4147-nucleotide long non-coding RNA. RefSeq lists it as uncharacterized. Lineage: Eukaryota; Metazoa; Chordata; Aves; Passeriformes; Cisticolidae. The transcript has 3 exons. The record is from RefSeq and is a predicted model, not a curated record.